CCUCAAUGCUCUGCUUGCAAUCACACACGGAUAUGAUAAACCAGCGCUGAAUGCACCGGGACUCAGCUCUCACCAUGGCGGAAGAAGACGACGCCAGGAUACGGAUUUUACAGAGUCUGCGGGGGAAAAUCUGUGAAGCUAAAAAUCUGGCUCCAGUUUCUGGACCAAAUCGUCAAAGGGAUCUCAGUACAUUCUGCACCAUAAGCCUGGAUCAGGAGGAGGUUUAUCGCACAAAGGUCUUUGAUAAAAGCGUCAGCCCUUUCUAUGGAGAGGAUUUUUACUUCGAAAUCCCACGGCCAUUUCAGUGUUUAUCCUUCUACGUUUAUGCCAAAAGCGUUUUUCAAAGGGAACUCCCAAUAGGCAAAGUGUCAAUACGAAAGGAUGACCUGUGUAAAUACACUGGGAAAGAAGACUGGUUUAGCCUACAGCCAGUCGACCCCAACUCUGAAGUCCAGGGUAAAGUUCAUCUGGAAAUGAGGCUGGAUGAAGUUAUCACAGAAAAUGGCUCAUUGUGUCAACAUUUACGAGUCAGAAAAUUAGAGUGCCAAGGACUGCCAUUGAUAAGUGGGCAGAACUGUGACCCAUAUGCAACAGUGUCACUUGUUGGACCAGCUAGGUCUGACCAGAAGAAAACAAAAGUUAAGAAGAAAACAAGUAAUCCUCAAUUUGAAGAGACAUUUUUAUUUGAAGUCACAAGGUCGAGCAGCUACUCAAAGAAGUCCCAUUUCCAGGUGGAGGAGGAGGAUAUUGAGAAACUGGAAAUUAAAGUGGAAUUGUGGAACAAUGAGAAUCUCGCUCAGGAUGUGUUUUUGGGAGAGACACGGGUUCCUGUGAAGAUACUGCAGAAUGACCACAUUCACAAAGCCUGGUAUUUACUUCAGCCAAAAGGGAAUGGCAACAAGUCUAAGUCCGAUGAUUUGGGAUCAUUGCGUUUGAGGCUGACCUACAUAGAAGACACAGUGCUGCCCUCUGCCUGCUAUACUCCGCUCUGCAACCUGCUGCUCAAAUCCCCUGAUGUGAAGCCCAUCUCGGCAUCAGUGGCACAUAUUCUGGGGGAGAUCUGUCGAGAGCGAUAUGAGGCUGUACUGCCCAUGGUGCGCCUCCUGCUCUACCACAGUCGCUUUGUGCCUUUUGUGUCGGCUGUGGCUGCGCUUGAACUGGACAACACUCAGGAGGCAAACACUAUUUUCCGCGGCAACUCCUUGGCGACGCGGUGCAUUGACGACAUGAUGAAGAUUGUAGGAAAGAACUACCUGGCAGUUACCUUGAAGCCAGUGAUAGACGAGAUCUGUGACGCCAAUAAAACGUGUGAGAUUGACCCGGUGCGACUCAAAGAAGGAGACAGCAUCGAGGCCAACAAGGACAGUCUCCAGGUUUAUGUUCAGAAGGUCUUCUCCUCCAUCACCCAGUCCAGUGCCAACUGCCCCCCUCUCAUGUGCGAUGUCUUCAGGUCUCUCCGACAUCUGGCCUGCAAACGAUUCCCAGCCGACCCACAUGUGCAGUAUUCUGCUGUGAGCAGCUUCGUGUUCUUGCGCUUUUUUGCUGUUGCUGUACUUUCGCCUCACUCCUUUCAGCUCCGCUCCCAUCACCCUGACCCAGAUAUCUCACGGACACUCACUCUCAUCUCUAAAACCAUCCAGACUCUGGGCAGCUGGGGCAGUUUGUCUAAAAAACUGUCUAGUUUUAAGGAAACAUAUAUGUACGACUUCUACAAAUCAUUCCAAGAAGAGAAGUGCAUUGAAAAGGUUAAAAAGUUUCUUGAUGAGAUUUCAUCAAAUAUCAACAAGGAAUUCAGUGGUGUGGAGGAUGCCCUGGUUCUCAAGGAGGGAGAAGUUCAGAAACGUGCCCAAGGGAGAAAACGUCUUGGCAAGAAAAACUUUAAGAAAAGAUGGCUUCGAGUCACCAAUAGAGAGCUGUCUUAUCAUAAGCAUAAAGGGAAAGAGGCCCUCUGCACCAUAAGUGUCAAAAACAUCCAGGCUGUGGAGAAACUGGAUGAAAGUGCCUUUAACCGCAAAAAUAUGUUUCAGGUGAUGCACUCAGAGAAGCCCCUAUACGUACAAGCAGGAAACUGUGUGGAGGCCAGUGAAUGGCUGGAGGUGCUGGGCCAGGUGAGCCGCUGUAACCAGGGCCGUCUGGAGAGUUUUCACCCAUCCACCUUCAGCGGGGGAGUGUGGCAGUGCUGCAGGAGCCAGAACAGCAGUGCACCGGGCUGCAGGCCAUGCACCACCACGAUGCUGGCCAACCUGCAGCUUGACAUUGACUGUGAUCGAGAAACAGAGAGGAUCUUCUCUCUUCUGUCCUUAAAUGACACCAAGCUCCAAAACAUGGAGGGUGAGUACUCUAAGAUGCUUGUGCCACCUUGGCGGUGUACCAGGGCCCUCAGCGGGAGCAGGACGAGUACUCCAAAUUCACCAUUCAGGAACCCAAAGAGACCUUUCAGACACUCAAACAGCUGCGCAACGUGAUGGAGGAGCUGCAGCGGCAGCACAACCUGCGGGGGGACACCACAGCACAGUACGGCAGUCUGGACAAUCCCAUCAUAGGGAAGACCUCAUAGGUGACAUAAGUAGAGGAGAAGUGGAGUGAAGUCCAGUGGACCUGGAGUGGACCACAGAGCCGCUGGUCCUGAACUGUGGAAACACGACCACCAAGAGUCAAAUGUGAAGAAGCCUGUGGCGCACAGGACCCAGAGGCACAGAAGAGUUUGGCAUUACGCCUCAUUCUCCCCAUUUUGAAUCAUGGGCACAUUGCAGGGGAGUCUAUGUUGAAAUUAUUUAUAUCAUAUCAUCAAUGCCCUUUUUCAUAUCCAAAGCUGUGUGAAGAAGGCAUCAUUAGAUGGUGUGUGAAUAGGCUGCUAAUUUUUUUAUUCAUCCACUUUUAUAUGAAUACCUGUGAUCAUUGAAAUGGGUCCUAUAAGGGUAAUGGUCUAUUCAGAGACAAGACGGGCCAUCUACUUUUGACCCUUACCUUGCCCAUAGUGUCUUUACCUUUCCAAUGAAUGUAUAUAUUUCAUCUUUAGAUACACUUACUUUUCGAGUUUUUACGGUGAGUAGAUCAGACCAAUCUGCCUUACUUUGAUGGAUGUUUUUUCUCACAUUAAAUGCUGAGGGAAUAAUGCAAAGCACUUUAAAUAUUUGGAGCUUUCCAAAUGGACAUGACUAGAUACUUAGUAUCAGCUCCCCCUUGGAUCAGUUCCAUGAUCUCCAGUACGUGUUGUUCAUUCAGUUAUAUGACAUUUGUUGCCUGUAGAUAUAAAGAUAUUUUUCUUGACCAAAGAAAAUUUCAUAGAUUUGACUUGAAAAGGAAAAAAUAAUUAAUGUAUUUUCAUGACAGAUGUUUUAAAAUGGACAAGUCUCUAUUCGUGUAUGUGUGUUUAACAUAUCAUUUAUUUGAAGUUGGAUGUGUUCAGAGAGAGAGAGAGAGAGAGCUCUGGUUCUCUGGCUGUGGUGUCUUUGUCAUUCUUUGUGGUACUGCGACAUCCCAUGUGGACGGCCAUAUUGAAAGCAUUAAACUCGUGCAAGGGCCUAAGUGACAAGUGACGGUGCUAACAUGAACAGUAUGAAUCACCUAAUAACAGCCAACUAACAUAAAACAUAUUACUGUUUUAGCCAUUUAACACCUUGCUCUUUACUGCCAGGACCAACAAACCAAUUCAUUUAUUUUGAUUAUAAUUUUAAGAAGAAAACACCAGCACAUGUUUAAUAUAUAUAGUAAUUGAGUGUGGUUUUGUCAAAUUUAUUCAGCAUUCACCAUCAAACUUGACCAUAUCAUGUUCCCUAUUGCCUAUAUACGAACAAUGAAGUGUUAAUACAAGACAUACAAGGCUUGAAUACUCUUUGACAUAUGAUGGACCAGUCGAUAAUGUAAAGGGGGUCUUUGCCCUCCUGUCUAUGUGUUUUAUUUAACUGUUUUAUCAAUGUGUAAUGCCACUGUUCUGACAUCUGUCCUUUUUUCCACUAUUUUAUUCAGCAAGACCAGUCAUUCCAGAAAAAUACAUUCUCAACCAGAUUAAACCAAUUUCAGUUGCUGUGAAAAUUGAAUCAAAUUUAGGCAAUUUAUGCAUUUUGGAUAGUUGAAAUUGGUUUGUUUCCUCAUACGAGUAGCUAGUGUACGGUACAUGAGCAUAAAACAUGACGUUAUAGUUUGUCAUGACAAAAAGCUCUCAAAUCAAGCAUCUUGGAUUAUUCAGUUCUUCAGGUUGUUUGUUCCAACUUGAAACAUUUCUGGAUUUUGACAAUUCACAAAACCACUUCAGCAGCAGCAGUUUAAUCCUGUUUACAGACAUGACAUUACACCAGACAAGCUCAUUCUCAGUGCCAGUUCAAUGAAGACUUCUGUUUUAAGGGAACAUUUUGCCUCCUGUGCACAAUAAUCACAAUUUUUUUUUUUAUUUUAAAGCUAAAUUUGACAGUGUGUAGUUUUCGGUACAUGAAGUGCAUUUAAAACUGUACUUCUUAUGAACAAAUCUAAGGGAGAAACUAAAAAUGCUUUAACUUAUCUGGUAAAUAAGCUGUCCGUGCAACCUCCCCAUUGCCGAUAUACUUCAAAACAUUUCAGUUUUGUAUGGUUUUACUGUUGUUUUUAUGUCGGAAUAUGUAAGGAAUCCUCAAAACUCCAUAAAAUGUGUUUUUUAAUGUUUUGUUUUCCACUUGUUUGUCACUUUUGUCCAGUUAACAAUAAACCAGUUGCCAGUCA
This is an RNA transcript of Periophthalmus magnuspinnatus, 4695 nucleotides long. It is a transcript of the gene named RAS p21 protein activator 2, with no coding region annotated. The record is from RefSeq and is a predicted model, not a curated record. The transcript is spliced from 24 exons. Lineage: Eukaryota; Metazoa; Chordata; Actinopteri; Gobiiformes; Gobiidae.